CCGGCGGUGGCGGAGUGGCCAAUCGCAUUUGACUGUAAAUCAAACGGGCUUUGUCCCUGCGUAGGUUCGAAUCCUACCCGCCGGA
Molecule: transfer RNA, 85 nt
Filed under: Candidatus Wolfebacteria bacterium CG_4_9_14_3_um_filter_37_9
Lineage: Bacteria; Candidatus Wolfeibacteriota
Also listed under: 1 other name
Description: tRNA-Tyr
Rfam family: tRNA
About the family: Transfer RNA (tRNA) molecules are approximately 80 nucleotides in length. Their secondary structure includes four short double-helical elements and three loops (D, anti-codon, and T loops). Further hydrogen bonds mediate the characteristic L-shaped molecular structure. tRNAs have two regions of fundamental functional importance: the anti-codon, which is responsible for specific mRNA codon recognition, and the 3' end, to which the tRNAs corresponding amino acid is attached (by aminoacyl-tRNA synthetases). tRNAs cope with the degeneracy of the genetic code in two manners: having more than one tRNA (with a specific anti-codon) for a particular amino acid; and 'wobble' base-pairing, i.e. permitting non-standard base-pairing at the 3rd anti-codon position.
Source: RNAcentral